RNAcentral lists this ribosomal RNA (283 nucleotides) under uncultured archaeon. RNAcentral describes it as "partial 16S ribosomal RNA". It matches the Rfam family "Archaeal small subunit ribosomal RNA", at positions 1 to 288 of the family's 1478-position model. The record is from RNAcentral.
UUCCGGUUGAUCCUGCCAGAGGUUACUGCUAUCGAGGUCCGACUAAGCCAUGCGAGUCGAAUGUAGCAAUACAUGGCGAACUGCUCAGUAACACGUGGACAACCUACCCUCAGAUCUGGGAUAAACCUGGGAAACUGGGUAUAAUACCGGAUAGGUCUUGGAUGCUGGAAUGCACCGAGGCCGAAAGCUCCGGCGUCUGAGGAUGGGUCUGCGGCCUAUCAGGGUAGUAGUGGGUGUAAAGUACCUACUAGCCUACGACGGGUACGGGUCGUGAGAGCGAAAC